This 314-nucleotide ribosomal RNA is filed under the name uncultured bacterium. RNAcentral's name for it is "bacterial SSU rRNA". It matches the Rfam family "Bacterial small subunit ribosomal RNA", at positions 28 to 334 of the family's 1533-position model. The record is from RNAcentral.
GAUGAACGCUGGCGGCGUGCUUAACACAUGCAAGUCGAACGAAGCACUUUUGAGAGCUUGCUCUUGAUUGUGACUUAGUGGCGGACGGGUGAGUAACGCGUGAGUAACCUGCCUUACACAGGGGGAUAACAGUUAGAAAUGACUGCUAAUACCGCAUAAGCGCACGGUACCGCAUGGUACAGUGUGAAAGUUUUUCGGUGUAAGAUGGACUCGCGUCUGAUUAGCUAGUUGGUGAGGUAACGGCUCACCAAGGCAACGAUCAGUAGCCGACUUGAGAGAGUGAUCGGCCACAUUGGGACUGAGACACGGCCCAA